UAGAGAAAUUCCUGUUUGAGUGCCCACAACCUAUCGGUUGUUUAGAAAAGCAAGGCUAGGGGGCUAAGGAAAUAGGCUUGAGAACCACAAAAGGCCCAUCUCUUUGUUUCCAGGCUCUGUUCAGGGUCUGUAGCUCAGUUGGUUAGAGCACACGCUUGAUAAGCGUGGGGUCGGUGGUUCAAGUCCACCCAGACCCACCAACUAAAAGGGGGUGUAGCUCAGAUGGGAGAGCACCUGCUUUGCAAGCAGGGGGUCAUCGGUUCGAUCCCGUUCACCUCCACCAAUCAGAAAAGCAAUUACCUAUUAGAAGCCAGAAGUAAACGGAAAGGCUUACUUCUGGUUUUUAACCAGCGGCUGUAUUUCGGGAGCAUUCAGGUUUUCGAGGUUGUUUUAUUCAACCCUGAAUUUCCUGUAUUGAGUUCCCGACGUUCUUUAACAAUCUGGAAGAAGUAAAUAUUCCGUAUCUAUGGAUACGCUACCCUUAACUGGAUUGCGUUUUUCAAGGAACGGAAUAAUGGGUUAGAUUGUAUCGACGUAUCGCAUUUUUAGUCGGAUGCGAUGCAAAGCAAACACCUGUAACCACUGGUUUGGAAGAUGAAAAGGAGUCUGCUUCUCAACGACAUCCGAUUCAGCUUCUAAAGCCCUUAAGGUUAUAG
RNAcentral lists this unclassified non-coding RNA (656 nucleotides) under Nitrosospira sp. HBN8222A. RNAcentral's name for it is "partial 16S-23S ribosomal RNA intergenic spacer". The stretch from base 124 to 197 matches the Rfam family "tRNA". The record is from RNAcentral. Lineage: Bacteria; Pseudomonadati; Pseudomonadota; Betaproteobacteria; Nitrosomonadales; Nitrosomonadaceae.